RNAcentral lists this ribosomal RNA (253 nucleotides) under uncultured bacterium. RNAcentral's name for it is "partial 16S ribosomal RNA". It matches the Rfam family "Bacterial small subunit ribosomal RNA", at positions 524 to 776 of the family's 1533-position model. The record is from RNAcentral.
GACAGAGGGUGCAACCGUUGUUCGGAAUUACUGGGCGUAAAGCGCGUGUAGGCUGCUCAGAAAGUUGGAUGUGAAAGCCCUGGGCUUAACCUAGGAAGUGCAUUCAAAACUACUGAGCUGGAGUCCUGGAGAGGAAGGCGGAAUUCUCGGUGUAGAGGUGAAAUUCGUAGAUAUCGAGAGGAACACCGGUGGCGAAGGCGGCCUUCUGGACAGUGACUGACGCUGAGACGCGAAAGCGUGGGGAGCAAACAGG